RNAcentral lists this ribosomal RNA (465 nucleotides) under uncultured bacterium. Its description in RNAcentral is "partial 16S ribosomal RNA". It matches the Rfam family "Bacterial small subunit ribosomal RNA", at positions 28 to 507 of the family's 1533-position model. The record is from RNAcentral.
GACGAACGCUGGCGGCGUGCUUAACACAUGCGAGUCGAACGGAAAGGCCCUGCUUGCCGGGUACUCGAGUGGCGAACGGGUGAGUAACACGUGGGUGAUCUGCCCUGCACUUCGGGAUAAGCCUGGGAAACUGGGUCUAAUACCGGAUAUGACCUUCCAUGUAGUGUGGGGGGUGGAAAGAUUUAUCGGUGUGGGAUGAGCCCGCGGCCUAUCAGCUUGUUGGUGGGGUAAUGGCCUACCAAGGCGUCGACGGGUAGCCGGCCUGAGAGGGUGGACGGCCACAUUGGGACUGAGAUACGGCCCAGACUCCUACGGGAGGCAGCAGUGGGGAAUAUUGCACAAUGGGCGGAAGCCUUAUGCAGCGACGCCGCGUGGGGGAUGACGGCCUUCGGGUUGUAAACCUCUUUCGACAGGGACGAAGCUUCGGUGACGGUACCUGUAGAAGAAGCACCGGCUAACUACGUG